RNAcentral lists this ribosomal RNA (496 nucleotides) under uncultured bacterium. Its description in RNAcentral is "partial 16S ribosomal RNA". It matches the Rfam family "Bacterial small subunit ribosomal RNA", at positions 28 to 506 of the family's 1533-position model. The record is from RNAcentral.
GAUGAACGCUGGCGGCGUGCCUAAUACAUGCCAGUCGAGCGAACGGACGAGAAGCUUGCUUCUCUGAUGUUAGCGGCGGACGGGUGAGUAACACGUGGAUAACCUACCUAUAAGACUGGGAUAACUUCGGGAAACCGGAGCUAAUACCGGAUAAUAUUUUGAACCGCAUGGUUCAAAAGUGAAAGACGGUCUUGCUGUCACUUAUAGAUGGAUCCGCGCUGCAUUAGCUAGUUGGUAAGGUAACGGCUUACCAAGGCAACGAUGCAUAGCCGACCUGAGAGGGUGAUCGGCCACACUGGAACUGAGACACGGUCCAGAGUCCUACGGGAGGCAGCAGUAGGGAAUCUUCCGCAAUGGGCGAAAGCCUGACGGAGCAACGCAGCGUGAGUGAUGAAGGGCUUCGGAUCGUAAAACUCUGUUAUGAGGGAAGAACAUAUGUGUAAGUAACGGUGCACAUCUUGAGGGUACCUAAUCAGAAAGCCACGGCUAACUACGU